Molecule: long non-coding RNA, 1583 nt
Organism: Myotis myotis
Lineage: Eukaryota; Metazoa; Chordata; Mammalia; Chiroptera; Vespertilionidae
Exons: 2
Source: RefSeq, a predicted model, not a curated record
AGGCAGCUGAUCGAUGUUUCUCUCUCAUCGAUGUUUCUGGCUCUCUAUCUCUUUCCCUUCCUCUCUGUAAAAAAUCAAUAAAAUAUAUUUUAAAAAAAAUAUUUAAAAAAAAAGAUUUUGCUCCCAGGUCUGCCAGGGAUUAGCCUAGCUCAGAAAGGUUGUCACUUGCCCAAGACUACACAGCUAGUUAGUAACAGCCAGAAUUUGAAUUUGUUCUAGACGAGUGCUCGGUUUUAUCUACUAGUCCUGGUAAACACUUGAUUCAGCAGGCACCUCUCCGCCUCGACUAUCUUUGCUUUGCUUUGCUUUGGUGGCUGGAGAGCUGAGAAAACAAGGAAACAAGAAUUGAGAUAAGGAAAUGUAGGCUCAGAGAGGUUAAGUAACUUUAACUUGCUCAAUGUCAUUCUGGAGUCAAAUCAGAUUCUGAAGCUGGGUCUACACACGUCUCAGAUAGCAGCAACCUCUGUGGCAGCUCCCAGCUUCUGGAAUCCAGAGCUGCAUUCCACUGGCUUCAUUCUCACUUCUACUUUAGAAGGCUGAGGGAGCAAAUAAAUGCCUUCUGUUUAUCAGCAGCAACAGGGCAGGGCUGCCUAGGAGCUUUGCAGGAGGUGGGGGACAAGGGAGGGUGAGAGUGUCGAAGGAGAGGCCUCACUAGGGCAGUUCCGCUUUAAUAUCUGUGUGUUGUUGUAUUUUAAUUUUAGGGUUGAGGGAGAUUUGAUUUGAGAAAUGGGUAUCAGUAAUAAAAAAAUUAAGUUGAAAAUCACCAAUCCUGUUUAUCGCUUUCAUUCUGAUGUGGAAAUUGGAUGCAGAGGCAACAGGGCCUGUCUGAUAUCACACAGUGAGUCAGGUACAGAGCUGGGCUUGAGCACGGGAUCUCCUGGCUUCUAGUCCAGUGCCAUACCCUGCACCACACAUGGUCAUUCUGUCACAACAGGUGCUGAAUCAAUAUGUGUGGGGUAGAAAAACAUCCCUGAGCAACAGAGUUGCAUCUCUGUUUGCAGAGCAAAAGCCAGGUGGAGGUUUGGGAGAUUUUCAUACACUUGGGAGGGCACUUCUCUCAAAUCAAGGGAGCUUGCAAGUCACUGCUUAAAUCCUGUCACACCUCACUGAAGUCAAGAGCAAGUCACCAUGGGACCCAGCACCUACGCUCAGCCAUAUUAGAACAGGCCUGUCCCAGUGCUACACACAGGAAUUAAAGAGAAGAAUGAGACCUGGGCCAUGACCUAGAGCUUUGAAGAGAAUUAGCCAGGUCCACAGGCUCCUAAGACAUCUUGGCUAAGAGGGUCCUUAAAGCUUGUUGAUUACAUCAUCGAAAUGAUGGCGAAACUGGGUUCAAGGAAGGACAGGCACAGGCCCAAGAUCAUGCAGGGGGUAGUGGCAAAUUUAGGGCUAGAAUUCAGAUCUCCAGCAGCCCAGUUUUCAAUGCCCGCUAUUACCCCUUGAUACUUUAAGUUCAGAUUUCAAAGCCCACAGCAGACUUGGGCUGUGGAGAACUCUGGGUGGCGAAGGGAAGCCGACCCGUGACUCUGGACCUGGAUGCAGCUGGCAGCACGAUAAUAAAGUGUGUGGAUUUUGGAGUCUGU